GGAGAGGCGGUCGAACCCGUCGAUUGGAAAUCGUGUACGGGGCAACCCGUCGCGGGUUCAAAUCCCGCCCUCUCCGCCA
Molecule: transfer RNA, 79 nt
Filed under: Actinomycetota bacterium
Lineage: Bacteria; Bacillati; Actinomycetota
Description: Actinobacteria bacterium tRNA-OTHER
Rfam family: tRNA
About the family: Transfer RNA (tRNA) molecules are approximately 80 nucleotides in length.
Source: RNAcentral